RNAcentral lists this long non-coding RNA (206 nucleotides) under Lathyrus oleraceus (garden pea). RNAcentral describes it as "Pisum sativum (pea) long non-coding RNA (PSAT_LNC001060)". The record is from RNAcentral. Lineage: Eukaryota; Viridiplantae; Streptophyta; Magnoliopsida; Fabales; Fabaceae.
AAAAUACAAAAGCUCACAAUAGCUAACACGACAAUCACAAAUUUCAAAAUCAAAAGAAAAAUCACACAAGAUUUGUUCCAAAAAUAUCUCGCUAAGUAAAAAAAAACAACCAGAAAAAUGUUGACUUAAGUAAAAGUUAGGGCAUCAUUUAAAAAAAAAAGAGCUCGCUAAGUCAAAAACUAAAAAGGAGUUCACUUAGGAAAAAG